Molecule: long non-coding RNA, 668 nt
Filed under: Manihot esculenta (cassava)
Lineage: Eukaryota; Viridiplantae; Streptophyta; Magnoliopsida; Malpighiales; Euphorbiaceae
Description: long non-coding RNA (MESC_LNC008178)
Source: RNAcentral
GUUAUAAUAAUAUCAAUUUACAUAAACAGAUCUAAAAAUCCCAAUAUGUGAGAAAUCAAAUCCCUAUCUUUCAACAAAACCCCAAUGCAUGAACAAUCACAUUCUAUACGUGACAAACAAUAGACAAAUCAAUCCCAAUUUAUGAAAAAUUAAACCCAAUCUGAAAAUGAAAUCCCAAAUCAUAUGAACAAAUCACUCUCUACAUAUCAUAUAUGAGAUGUUCUUCCAUGCCACAAAACACAAAUCCAUUACCAGCUCAAAAAAAAAAAUCACAAAUCCAUUACAUGUGAAGUUGAGAACAGUAAAAAAAACCCCAAUUUGUGAGAGCAUCCAAAUCAGCCGAGAAGGAUGAAAUGAGUAGAGAAAAACCCAAGAUGCAAUGGUCCAUGUGGGUGUGGAUCUCCUUCAAAAUGCCAUCCUCAACUGAAAAAUGAAACAAAUGGGGUUGUUGAAACUUGAAGAAAACCGAAGAAGAAGAAGAAGCAUGGCAUGAGAUUAAUGGAGAAGAAACCAAGCUACAAUGUCGAUGGAAGAAGAAGCAUGGCAUGGUAUGAAUAGAGAAGAACCCAAAACUACGAUUGGAAAGAAACUGUGGAUGAGAGAUUUAGGAUUUAGGGCUUUCAGUAAUUAAGAAUAACGAUAUAUAUGAUAUGUAGAGAAUAAAUACA